Long non-coding RNA from Vitis riparia (riverbank grape), 660 nucleotides. RefSeq lists it as uncharacterized. NCBI's taxonomy places the organism in Eukaryota, Viridiplantae, Streptophyta, Magnoliopsida, Vitales, Vitaceae. The record is from RefSeq and is a predicted model, not a curated record. The transcript has 3 exons.
UUCUCACACCGGCCAUAUCACCUAAAGAUCUACGAAUUCUCACACCCUCAUUUAUCUUUUAUCUAUGGACACUCACACCCUAAAAAGCUAUUAACUAUCUCAAAAACCCUAGCCUUUACCCUCAGCCAUCUUCAAUUUCCCUAACCCCCCAAGAGCCCAUAACUUUAUCCUCAUCAUCAUCGAUAACCUCACAUCCCAAACCCUAAGCCUUUCAUUUCUUUGUUCUCACCAUAGCCGUUGAGAGCUACUAACACAGAAAUACAGAAGCUUGAAGUCCACCAUUAGCCAGCUAGUUAUCAAUGGCAUUAAACCUUUUCUAAGCUAGAAACAGAGAUGCUUAAUGAAACUCUCGGACCAAUGACUUUGAGAACCUCUCCUACUCUAACCUUGGAGCCUUCAGCUGUCUUUAGAGUUAUUCGUCGCCCUUCUACUGCUCAGGUGUUGAUGUUUGCUUGGAUUGCUAGCCACAAAUGGCAGUAGCUAUUAAAGUGAUUAAUACUAUCCUCAGAGGUAAGGUAUAUAUGUGUAUACAUUCAACCGAGUAUAAUGUGUUCGGCCUUGUCUUAAACAUUUUAUAAUUUCUUUUUCCUUUGAUUUCUUAUAUGUACAACAUUUAAAGAUUUGGAUCAUACUUCAAUCAUCUUCAAGUUGACCAAUGAA